Molecule: small nuclear RNA, 107 nt
Organism: Balaenoptera musculus (blue whale)
Lineage: Eukaryota; Metazoa; Chordata; Mammalia; Artiodactyla; Balaenopteridae
Source: Ensembl
CGUUUCAGCAGCACAUACUGUAUACUAAAAUCAGAACAAUACAGAGGAGAUUAGCAUGGCCCCUGCUCAAGGAUGACAAGCAAAUUUGUGAACCGUUCAUAUUUUUU